RNAcentral lists this ribosomal RNA (548 nucleotides) under uncultured archaeon. Its description in RNAcentral is "bacterial SSU rRNA". It matches the Rfam family "Archaeal small subunit ribosomal RNA", at positions 325 to 871 of the family's 1478-position model. The record is from RNAcentral.
ACGGGGAGCAGCAGGCGCGAAACCUUUACACUGCACGCCAGUGCGAUAAGGGAAUCCCAAGUGCGCAGGCAUAGAGCCUGCGCUUUUGUACACCGUAGGGAGGUGUACGAAUAAGGGCUGGGCAAGACCGGUGCCAGCCGCCGCGGUAAUACCGGCAGCCCGAGUGAUGGCCGAUCUUAUUGGGCCUAAAGCGUCCGUAGCUGGCCGCGCAAGUCCAUCGGAAAAUCCACCCGCCCAACGGGUGGGCGUCCGGUGGAAACUGUGUGGCUUGGGACCGGAAGGCGCGACGGGUACGUCCGGGGUAGGAGUGAAAUCCCGUAAUCCUGGACGGACCGCCGAUGGCGAAAGCACGUCGCGAGGACGGAUCCGACAGUGAGGGACGAAAGCCAGGGUCUCGAACCGGAUUAGAUACCCGGGUAGUCCUGGCCGUAAACAAUGCCUGCUAGGUGUGGCUCCCGCUACGAGCGGGUGCUGUGCCGUAGGGAAGCCGCUAAGCAGGCCGCCAGGGAAGUACGUCCGCAAGGAUGAAAACUUAAAUGAAUUGACGG